CGUCAGCUCGUGCCGUGAGGUGUCGGCUUAAGUGCCAUAACGAGCGCAACCCUUGUCAUUAGUUACCAUCAGGUUAAGCUGGGGACUCUAGUGAGACUGCCACCGUAAGGUGUGAGGAAGGGGGGGAUGACGUCAAAUCAGCACGGCCCUUAUGUCCGGGGCGACACACGUGUUACAAUGGGAGGUACAGAGGGCAGUCAGUUAGUGAUAACGAGCCAAUCUCAAAAACCUCUCUCAGUUCGGAUUGGAGUCUGCAACUCGACUCC
RNAcentral lists this ribosomal RNA (266 nucleotides) under uncultured bacterium. Its description in RNAcentral is "partial 16S ribosomal RNA". It matches the Rfam family "Bacterial small subunit ribosomal RNA", at positions 1053 to 1319 of the family's 1533-position model. The record is from RNAcentral.